AUCCAGCAGACUGGAGGGGGAGUUGAUAGGUCAGUGGGGGAGGCAUCUACACUGAAGCAUUCUGGAUUUCAUUUGGCAUGGUGCCUGUGACUGAUUACAAAAUCUGCUGCUGAAGCAACUUCUAGAGGUGGUGGAAGACCUAUGGUUGUGGAUCCUUUGCAAAUAUAAAUGUUAUUGUGUGUGUCUGUUUGACCAUGGUAGGAUAUUUAAUGUAUCAUGGAAACAAGUUUUGUAUCUCCAGUUUCAGUGUUCCUCUUGUCAUAGAUCCUUCCUUUCAAACGUAUUUUCCCUUGUUUGAGCCUUUAAAAAAAGACAGAAAAACCUCCCAAACCUUGAAAAAUUGUAACACUCUAUGAAAAGUAUGCACUAUUGUCAUCUUCUGGGGAAAAGUGGAACUUUACUGUGUCUGCUGUUGUUUUUAGUGGAAUGUGGUGUACAGCAUGCUAAGUAAUUGCUCAGUAAAAUGUCAGUGUGAAUUCAGAAAUCCUCAGUAGAGGAAAGAAAUAAAUAUUUUUAUUUUCUCUAA
Molecule: long non-coding RNA, 526 nt
Organism: Catharus ustulatus (Swainson's thrush)
Lineage: Eukaryota; Metazoa; Chordata; Aves; Passeriformes; Turdidae
Exons: 3
Source: RefSeq, a predicted model, not a curated record